RNAcentral lists this ribosomal RNA (255 nucleotides) under uncultured bacterium. RNAcentral describes it as "partial 16S ribosomal RNA". It matches the Rfam family "Bacterial small subunit ribosomal RNA", at positions 524 to 777 of the family's 1533-position model. The record is from RNAcentral.
UACGUAGGGACCGAGCGUUGUCCGGAAUCAUUGGGCGUAAAGAGCGUGUAGGCGGCCACUUAAGUCCUGCGUGAAAUCUUGCGGCUCAACCGCAAGCGGUCGUGGGAAACUGGGUGGCUAGAGUGCGGAAGAGGAGAGUGGAAUUCCCGGUGUAGCGGUGAAAUGCGCAGAUAUCGGGAAGAACACCCGUGGCGAAGGCGGCCCCCUGGGCCGGCCCCUGACACUGAGACGCGAAGGCGUGGGGAGCGAACGGGG